RNAcentral lists this small RNA (278 nucleotides) under marine eukaryotic metagenome. RNAcentral's name for it is "5' ureB small RNA". It matches the Rfam family "5' ureB small RNA". The record is from RNAcentral.
AUCAGUUGCGGACAGAUGAAAUGGAUGUGCGAGUCGAUGCCGCCCGCCGUGCAGAUCAGGCCUUCGCCGGCGAUCGCCUCGGUGCCGGGUCCGACGAUGAUAUCGACACCGGGCUGGGUGUCUGGGUUGCCCGCCUUGCCAAUGCCGGCGAUACAGCCGUUAGAGAGGCCGAUAUCGGCCUUGACGAUACCCCAGUGGUCGAGGAUCAGGGCGUUGGUAAUGACAGUAUCGACGGCACCGUCAGCAUGCGAGACCUGGGACUGGCCCAUACCGUCUCU